Molecule: ribosomal RNA, 503 nt
Filed under: uncultured bacterium
Lineage: Bacteria
Description: partial 16S ribosomal RNA
Rfam family: Bacterial small subunit ribosomal RNA
Source: RNAcentral
AUUGAACGCUGGCGGCAGGCUUAACACAUGCAAGUCGAGCGGGGUGAUGGUGCUUGCACUAUCACUUAGCGGCGGACGGGUGAGUAAUGCUUAGGAAUCUGCCUAUUAGUGGGGGACAACAUCUCGAAAGGGAUGCUAAUACCGCAUACGUCCUACGGGAGAAAGCAGGGGAUCACUUGUGACCUUGCGCUAAUAGAUGAGCCUAAGUCGGAUUAGCUGGUUGGUGGGGUAAAGGCCUACCAAGGCGACGAUCUGUAGCGGGUCUGAGAGGAUGCUCCGACAAACUGGGACUGAGACACGGCCCAGACUCCUACGGGAGGCGGCAGUGGGGAAUAUUGGACAAUGGGGGGAACCCUGAUCCAGCCAUGCCGCGUGUGUGAAGAAGGCCUUAUGGUUGUAAAGCACUUUAAGCGAGGAGGAGGCUCUUUUGGUUAAUACCCAAGAUGAGUGGACGUUACUCGCAGAAUAAGCACCGGCUAACUCUGUGCCAGCCGCCGCGGUAA